Molecule: long non-coding RNA, 252 nt
Filed under: Setaria viridis
Lineage: Eukaryota; Viridiplantae; Streptophyta; Magnoliopsida; Poales; Poaceae
Description: long non-coding RNA (SVIR_LNC001997)
Source: RNAcentral
CAACACCUCAAAUUUUAUUGGUGAAGGGAAAGUGAAGAUGUCCAAGAUGGACAAAAUAAGAUACAAUGAUAUGACAUGAGUGUGGAUAGGCCAAUAGCGAGGGAUUAGGAUCGUACUAAAUAAAGUAUGCCUAGCUUCCUUCCAUAAGAAAGUAUUCCUGAUGAUGUUCUUGGGAGUAAUAUUCCAUGCUGGGUUUCAGAUCCCUCGAAGGCUCCAGAGGAUGUUGAUGAAGUGCAGGGGGAUCCACAUCAG